GCNCCNAACGCUGUGNGNCACUNNCUCUAANACAUGCAAGUCGAACGAUGAAGCCCUUCGGGGUGGAUUAGUGGCGAACGGGUGAGUAACACGUGGGCAAUCUGCCCUUCACUCUGGGACAAGCCCUGGAAACGGGGUCUAAUACCGGAUAACACUCCUGCCUGCAUGGGCGGGGGUUGAAAGCUCCGGCGGUGAAGGAUGAGCCCGCGGCCUAUCAGCUUGUUGGUGGGGUAAUGGCCCACCAAGGCGACGACGGGUAGCCGGCCUGAGAGGGCGACCGGCCACACUGGGACUGAGACACGGCCCAGACUCCUACGGGAGGCAGCAGUGGGGAAUAUUGCACAAUGGGCGAAAGCCUGAUGCAGCGACGCCGCGUGAGGGAUGACGGCCUUCGGGUUGUAAACCUCUUUCAGCAGGGAAGAAGCGAAAGUGACGGUACCUGCAGAAGAAGCGCCGGCUAACUACGUGCCAGCAGCCGCGGUAAUACGUAGGGCGCAAGCGUUGUCCGGAAUUAUUGGGCGUAAAGAGCUCGUAGGCGGCUUGUCACGUCGGAUGUGAAAGCCCGAGGCUUAACCUCGGGUCUGCAUUCGAUACGGGCUAGCUAGAGUGUGGUAGGGGAGAUCGGAAUUCCUGGUGUAGCGGUGAAAUGCGCAGAUAUCAGGAGGAACACCGGUGGCGAAGGCGGAUCUCUGGGCCAUUACUGACGCUGAGGAGCGAAAGCGUGGGGAGCGAACAGGAUUAGAUACCCUGGUAGUCCACGCCGUAAACGUUGGGAACUAGGUGUUGGCGACAUUCCACUCGUCGGUGCCGCAGNUACGCAUNANUUCCCCNCUGGGGNUNCGGCNCAAGGUAAACUAAAGAUUGACGGGGCCCGCCANCGCGGAACUGUNGNUUANUNGACCACNGAAAACUACANGNUNNNUUNCCGAANAUNAAAANGCCCUUNGGCGNUNAGGGGCUGGUNCCACUUGNNGNAUUGGUAACCCCNANCCCCUNNNUUNCNAUNCUUGGGUGGNCAGANCCGGUAUNGAGGGGNANAAUUNCUUUUGUCC
RNAcentral lists this ribosomal RNA (1052 nucleotides) under Streptomyces sp. LK1131.5. RNAcentral's name for it is "partial 16S ribosomal RNA". The stretch from base 1 to 833 matches the Rfam family "Bacterial small subunit ribosomal RNA", at positions 26 to 873 of the family's 1533-position model. Lineage: Bacteria; Bacillati; Actinomycetota; Actinomycetes; Kitasatosporales; Streptomycetaceae. The record is from RNAcentral.